GGCGGACGGGUGAGGAAUACAUCGGAAUCUACUCUGUCGUGGGGGGAUAACGUAGGGAAACUUACGCUAAUACCGCAUACGACCUACGGGUGAAAGCAGGGGAUCUUCGGACCUUGCGCGAUUGAAUGAGCCGAUGUCGGAUUAGCUAGUUGGCGGGGUAAAGGCCCACCAAGGCGACGAUCCGUAGCUGGUCUGAGAGGAUGAUCAGCCACACUGGAACUGAGACACGGUCCAGACUCCUACGGGAGGCAGCAGGA
Molecule: ribosomal RNA, 257 nt
Filed under: uncultured Stenotrophomonas sp.
Lineage: Bacteria; Pseudomonadati; Pseudomonadota; Gammaproteobacteria; Lysobacterales; Lysobacteraceae
Description: partial 16S ribosomal RNA
Rfam family: Bacterial small subunit ribosomal RNA
Source: RNAcentral